This 477-nucleotide ribosomal RNA is filed under the name uncultured bacterium. Its description in RNAcentral is "bacterial SSU rRNA". It matches the Rfam family "Bacterial small subunit ribosomal RNA", at positions 338 to 808 of the family's 1533-position model. The record is from RNAcentral.
CCUACGGGAGGCAGCAGUGAGGAAUAUUGGACAAUGGGCGCAAGCCUGAUCCAGCCAUGCCGCGUGCAGGAAGACGGUCCUAUGGAUUGUAAACUGCUUUUGUACAGGAAGAAACACUCCCUCGUGAGGGAGCUUGACGGUACUGUAAGAAUAAGGAUCGGCUAACUCCGUGCCAGCAGCCGCGGUAAUACGGAGGAUCCAAGCGUUAUCCGGAAUCAUUGGGUUUAAAGGGUCCGUAGGCGGUUUAAUAAGUCAGUGGUGAAAUCUGGUCGCUCAACGAUCAAACGGCCAUUGAUACUGUUAGACUUGAAUUAUUAGGAAGUAACUAGAAUAUGUAGUGUAGCGGUGAAAUGCUUAGAUAUUACAUGGAAUACCAAUUGCGAAGGCAGGUUACUACUAAUGGAUUGACCGCUGAUGGACGAAAGCGUGGGGAGCGAACAGGUAUUAGACUACCCGUGGUAGUCCACGCCGUAAACG